GCUGGGUGCAGUGGUGCACACCUGUAAUCCCAGUGACUAGAGAGGAGGCUGAGGCAGGAGGAUUGCAAGUUCAAAGCCAGCCUCAGCAACUUAGUGAGACCCCGUCUCAA
This 110-nucleotide small RNA is filed under the name Marmota monax (woodchuck). The record is from RNAcentral. Lineage: Eukaryota; Metazoa; Chordata; Mammalia; Rodentia; Sciuridae.